Molecule: ribosomal RNA, 254 nt
Filed under: uncultured bacterium
Lineage: Bacteria
Description: partial 16S ribosomal RNA
Rfam family: Bacterial small subunit ribosomal RNA
Source: RNAcentral
UACGGAGGGUGCAAGCGUUAUCCGGAAUCACUGGGUUUAAAGGGUGCGUAGGCGGUGGCGUAAGUCAGUCGUGAAAUACUUCCGCUUAACGGAUAGAACUGCGAUUGAUACUGCGUCACUUGAAUCAGGAUGAGGCAGGCGGAAUGUGGCAUGUAGCGGUGAAAUGCUUAGAUAUGCCAUAGAACACCGAUUGCGAAGGCAGCUUGCUGGACCUGUAUUGACGCUGAGGCACGAAAGCGUGGGGAGCAAACAGG